CCUACGGGAGGCAGCAGUGGGGAAUAUUGCACAAUGGGGGAGACCCUGAUGCAGCCACGCCGCGUGAGUGAUGACGUAUUUCGGUAUGUAAAGCUCUAUCAGCAGGGGAGCAGUUGACGGUACCUGAUUAAGAAGCCCCGGCUAACUACGUGCCAGCAGCCGCUGUAAUACGGAGGGGGCAAGCGUUAUCCGGAUUUACUGGGUGUAAAGGGAGCGCAGACGGCAGUGAAAGUCUGGAGUGAAAGCCCGGGGCCCAACCCCGGAACUGCUCUGGAAACUGUGCGGCUAGAGUACUGGAGGGGCAGGCGGAAUGCAUAGUGUAGCGGUGAAAUGCGUAGAUAUUAGGAGGAACACCAGUUGCGAAGGCAGCCUGCUGGACAGUAACUGACGUUGAGGCUCGAAAGCGUGGGGAGCAAACAGGAUUAGAUACCCUGGUAGUC
Molecule: ribosomal RNA, 440 nt
Filed under: uncultured bacterium
Lineage: Bacteria
Description: partial 16S ribosomal RNA
Rfam family: Bacterial small subunit ribosomal RNA
Source: RNAcentral